UUGUAGUCAUAUGCUUGUCUCAAAGAUUAAGCCAUGCAUGUCUAAGUAUAAGCAACUAUACGGUGAAACUGCGAAUGGCUCAUUAAAUCAGUUAUCGUUUAUUUGAUAGUACCUUACUACUUGGAUAACCGUGGUAAUUCUAGAGCUAAUACAUGCUAAAAACCCCAACUUCGGAAGGGGUGUAUUUAUUAGAUAAAAAACCAACGCCCUCCGGGGCUCCUUGGUGAUUCAUAAUAACUAAACGAAUCGCAUGGCCUUGCGCCGGCGAUGGUUCAUUCAAAUUUCAGCCCUAUCAACUUUCGAUGGUAGGAUAGUGGCCUACCAUGGUAUCAACGGGUAACGGGGAAUUAGGGUUCUAUUCCGGAGAGGGAGCCUGAGAAACGGCUACCACAUCCAAGGAAGGCAGCAGGCGCGCAAAUUACCCAAUCCCGACACGGGGAGGUAGUGACAAUAAAUACUGAUACAGGGCUCUUUUGGGUCUUGUAAUUGGAAUGAGUACAAUUUAAAUCCCUUAACGAGGAACAAUU
RNAcentral lists this ribosomal RNA (527 nucleotides) under uncultured Ascomycota. RNAcentral's name for it is "SSU rRNA". It matches the Rfam family "Eukaryotic small subunit ribosomal RNA", at positions 21 to 549 of the family's 1831-position model. The record is from RNAcentral. Lineage: Eukaryota; Fungi; Ascomycota.